UAGAUUAUUUAACUAUAGCCAAAGACAGUAGGUGGAAUGGAAAGUUCAUAAAAUCCUACCGAGGUAGUUGUAAUGGAUUGUUGGAGUUUAAAAUAAAUUCUUAGAUAGAUUUCGUUAUAAUAAUACCUCUGGCUUAUUGUUUUUGUUUCAGAGGUUUUUUUAUUUGAGGA
This is a non-coding RNA of Leptotrichia sp. oral taxon 847, 170 nucleotides long. The record is from Rfam. NCBI's taxonomy places the organism in Bacteria, Fusobacteriati, Fusobacteriota, Fusobacteriia, Fusobacteriales, Leptotrichiaceae.